RNAcentral lists this ribosomal RNA (332 nucleotides) under uncultured bacterium. RNAcentral's name for it is "bacterial SSU rRNA". It matches the Rfam family "Bacterial small subunit ribosomal RNA", at positions 570 to 898 of the family's 1533-position model. The record is from RNAcentral.
CGUAGGCGGCUGAGUAAGUCACGUGUGAAAGCCCGGGGCUCAACCCCGGAUCUGCAUGUGGGACUGCUCGGCUCGAGCACGGUAGAGGCGGGCGGAAUUCCUGGUGUAGCGGUGGAAUGCGUAGAGAUCAGGAAGAACACCGGUGGCGAAGGCGGCUCGCUGGGCCGUUGCUGACGCUGAGGCACGAAAGCGUGGGGAGCAAACAGGAUUAGAUACCCUGGUAGUCCACGCCCUAAACGAUGGACACUAGGCGUCGGGGGGGAGCGACCCUCCCGGUGCCGUCGCUAACGCAAUAAGUGUCCCCGCCUGGGGAGUACGGCCGCAAGGCUAGA